RNAcentral lists this ribosomal RNA (484 nucleotides) under uncultured bacterium. Its description in RNAcentral is "bacterial SSU rRNA". It matches the Rfam family "Bacterial small subunit ribosomal RNA", at positions 29 to 507 of the family's 1533-position model. The record is from RNAcentral.
AACGAACGCUGGCGGCGUGCUUAAUACAUGCAAGUCGAAACGUGAAGUCUUCAGCAAUGGAGAUGGAAAAGUGGCGAACGGGUGAGGUAACACGUAAGUAAAUCUGCCUCUAAGACUGGGAUAACCUUGCCAACGCGGGGGCUAAUACCGGGAUGUGGUCCCGAUAAUGCAUAUUGUCGGGAUUAAGGGAGCGAUCCGCUUAGAGAUGAGCUUGCGGCCCAUUAGCUAGUUGGUGCGGGUAAUGGCCCACCAAGGCUGCGAUGGGUAGCCGGCCUGAGAGGGUGAUCGGCCACAUUGGGACUGAGAUACGGCCCAGACUCCUACGGGAGGCAGCAGUAGGGAAUUUUGCGCAAUGGGCGAAAGCCUGACGCAGCAACGCCGCGUGAGGGAUGACGGCCUUCGGGUUGUAAACCUCUGUUGAGUGGGAAAAAAGGGUAGCAAUACUUUGAUGGUACCAUUCGAGUAAGCACCGGCUAACUACGUG